UGCACUGUAUGGUAUCUGCACUCAAUAGCACUACAACUGUUGACGUGUUCAAUAAACAGUGCAACACUAACUCAGCCAUUGGCAUCGUUGGUUUUCAGACCUCUUGUCUGGCAACCUGGUUUUUCUGCUGAUACAUUU
Bombina bombina (fire-bellied toad) is the source of this 138-nucleotide small nucleolar RNA. RefSeq annotates it as small nucleolar RNA SNORA8. The record is from RefSeq and is a predicted model, not a curated record. The transcript has a single exon. NCBI's taxonomy places the organism in Eukaryota, Metazoa, Chordata, Amphibia, Anura, Bombinatoridae.